RNAcentral lists this long non-coding RNA (2735 nucleotides) under Triticum aestivum (bread wheat). RNAcentral's name for it is "long non-coding RNA (TAES_LNC019763)". Lineage: Eukaryota; Viridiplantae; Streptophyta; Magnoliopsida; Poales; Poaceae. The record is from RNAcentral.
UCCUUCACUCGGUUCUUGACAUUGUUUGCGUUUUCUAAAGUAAGUCUGGCACACGAGGUGCCCUCAUGGGUGUAGAUUUAUCCAUUGGCUACCCAUUGGAACAUCACUUGCAGGACUCUCUAUUUAAAUGCAAAAUUGAUGUACUACUUUUUUCUUAAUUGUAUUUAGUAAGGAUUACUUUAUCCAUACAUUGUUGGCAUACAAAUGAUGCUUAGUCUUGUGGAAGACUUCCUGCAUUAGGAGACACUUUCCCCAGAUCCAAUUCGUCGAUGGAGUUAGAUCAAUUCCGUACAACAGAGUCUUAGGUAAUUUAUGUUCUAACCAUGUUAUUAUUAUUGCAAAACCAAAUAGGGAUGCUUAAUCUGAGCUAUUUCUCACCCCAUUUCCUCUAGGUCUCUGCAAAUUAUUGUUUGUCUUUUGAGGUGAAUGCAACUGCUGGUCAUGCUUUAACCACAUGUCAAUUGCAGGAGUGCGACAACGCCAUCCUAUUCCACAAACCAUCUGAAGAAUGAUGGGUGCUGUAAUCCCAUGCUUGCUAGAGUGCUAGAUGGAUUUAAUAAACUCUUUCGUGCUCAUCUUUUGGCCUGAAACACUAAAAACUAAACUGCCCUAGUAGUGAGCAAUGAUUAAUAAAAUGGAGUUCAUUUGAUCCAUCUGAUAAAAAUAACUAUGGGCGAAUAAGAAUGAAAAGUAAUCACAUGUUGUUUCUGCAGUGGAAUUCAGGUAUACCCUCUCCUCUAUUUAUUUGACUCUUGUUAGAUUGGUUCAUCUUGGUCUGACGUGUUAAUGGAGUUAUUUCAUUCCUCACAUGAUCCCUUUCAAUUGGAUCAGUUAUCCUUAUUUGGUUACUCUAUAUUCCCUACAUAUAUCUUUAUUAUGUUCAUCGAGACUUUAGAGUAAGACAUUUAUUUUGCUCAUAUUACCUUCAAGGUAACAUGGUACCUACAACGCAGGGGGACUCAUGGCAAUCAGUUCUAAUUUAUAAAUCCAAUUAAGUGUAAGCUUCUCUGUUGUCUGUACUGCAGUCGUGAUGAUCAGAAGUUCAGGACCCCACUGUAGGUAGGAAAAAAAGAUUAAUCUUGGUAAGAUACAGUCUUCUGAUCACAAUCUUACUUUUUUUGUUAUUAGUGCUUCCAUUACUUUCUAUUUAAAUAUGCACAAUGGGAUAGGGAGUGGACCCUUUUAGUAAGUUAUAUGUAUAAUUGGAGAUUACUGGAUUUUCUCAUUGUUAUCUGGUUAGUUAUCCCUCACAAAAUCAAGUGAUAAUAUAUGCAGUAUGUAUAAGACUAGGAGUAUUGGAUGGUUGUGAUUCGGGAGUGUGUAUUUUGAUCGAAGUUUGUAGUACGUAUAGGGUGAUAGAUACGUUGGGUAGGAACUUCUGCUCUAAUUUACUAUGGUUGUAGUUAAAUUUAUUUUUGGUUGAAUCGUGUCCUUCACAUAGAUCUUAAUUUACUGGAUAAAUUAUACAAUAAAGUGGUUUGUGAUUUUUUGGUUUUACACUAUCCAUCAUAAUAAAUGAACUUAUUAUUCGCACUUCAGAUAUCAUGUAAAUUUUUAUGAUCUCUGAACUUCUCAUGUACUAUUAGUCCAAAUCAAUUUGAAAAUCCAAUGAACUUCUAUAGGUUCUAUUAUUUUUUCAAACAUGAGCAUUGCUGGUUAAUAAAUUGAUUUACAUUAAUUUCUCAAAAGGGGGCCGCACACAUGUCCUGGUGCUUAAUGCUUUUAGAAAGGGUUUAUGUAAUUUUGGUAGUAUAAAAGUAACCCAAGUUCUUUAGUAUUAUCCAGAGCUGGGAUAUGUAAAUGUAUAAACACAGGGUAGAAGGUCAGUCAACUUGUGUCCCAACCAUCUAAUACUCAUAGCUAACUUCAUUGCCUCCAUUGUUAGGGUAAAAUCUGGAGCCGCAAAUGGAGCAAUUACUAACCAUCAGUUCAUAGAAACACAAUCUGACCUGAAGUUACAACAUAGUCAACGAUGAUAUACUGACAUGCCAUGACUACCUGAUAAGAAGAAAGCAGAAUAUCUAAAGAAGGAAUACAUAUCCCACUAGCAAGAGAAAUUUGUGGCGGCCAGUGAAAAUAUCGAUGGACCUAGCUCAAAACCCCACAACUUUAUUUCUCCAUCUAUAUAUAUAUAUAUAUAUAUAUAUAUAUAUUUCCUUCUAAAGAGUAGUUAUUGCCAAUUGAUUGUCAACGGAAUGUCUAGAUGCAUGAGUGUUCGACAUCUGCGUUUGUUCUGAUCUAUAGAAGCAGUGGAAAUGAUAAUUUAUCAUUCAGUCAGAAAUAACUAAAUUUUCAUGAGAUCUCAUAUCUUCAGUAAUUUGCUCGCAGGAGAGUGAUGACUAUGGCAGCAAGCUCGCUAGGGAUGGAGAGCACUACACAAAGCAGGGAAUGUGAAUGGAAUUGGGCAUUGGUAUAGUGAGUGUCAGUUUCGGUCAGGCUGCCCACCAUGUGUGGUGUUUCAGCUGAAGCACCAUAAAGCUAUUUAAUUAUUCAUGUUUAUUUAUCUUUCAUCUAAUCAAAUUAAAAUUUAUAAUCAAAAUUUUUGUGGGGUUUAUGGAUAGGAAUAUUUCAUUUGACUAUUUUGAGCAUGUAUAUUUCACACACAAUUGCCAUCAUUGUUCUUUGUGAACUAAUUCUGAUUAAUACUUGGCAGGAGCAUAUUAGACUAUUCUUUUACAAUUAAUUCUGAUUACUAUAUUUUCGGUAAUUUGGAGUACUAACUAUUUGGCAGGAAC